Long non-coding RNA from Mustela erminea (ermine), 260 nucleotides. RefSeq lists it as uncharacterized. NCBI's taxonomy places the organism in Eukaryota, Metazoa, Chordata, Mammalia, Carnivora, Mustelidae. The record is from RefSeq and is a predicted model, not a curated record. The transcript has 3 exons.
AGAUAGACAUCGAAGGUCUCACCAUUAAUCUGCAUCUUGAAGAAGGGGAAUAGGCAGUAAGCCUUUGAAAGAGUCACAGUGUGCUUCUUGGAGGUCCUGAGGAUGAACAAAAAUGCUGGAGAAAGACCCUUGGAUCUAGUGGUACCCUGGGGGCACCCUCGGAACACCUUGGAGCAGAAACAAAGAUGCAGAGAAACAGAGAUCCUGAUUCUUGUGUGCUGAUCAGAUCAUAUUGGUCCCAAUGGCUACAGACAGUUGGA